UCAGACGAUGCGUCAUGCAUAUCAAUAAGCGGAGGAAAAGAAACUAACAAGGAUUCCCUUAGUAACGGCGAGUGAAGCGGGAAGAGCUCAAAUUUGAAAUCUUGAAAGGUCACCUUUCACGAAUUGUAGUUUAAAGAAGUGUUUUCUGUUACGAUCGUAAUAUAAGUUCUUUGGAAUAGGACAUCACAGAGGGUGAGAAUCCCGUCUAUGAUUGCGAUUUGUAGCUUUGUGAUACACUUUCAAAGAGUCGGGUUGCUUGGGAAUGCAGCCCAAAACGGGAGGUAAAUUUCUUCUAAGGCUAAAUAUUGGCGAGAGACCGAUAGCGAACAAGUACCGUGAGGGAAAGAUGAAAAGAACUUUGAAAAGAGAGUUAAAUAGUACGUGAAAUUGUCAAAAGGGAAGCGUUUAACACCAGUGUUGUUUUCUGAAAAUCAACCUCUGUUAGCUUUAUGCAUGUUUGUUUAGACCUAAUCAUGCUAUCUUGCAUGUUCUAUUGUUUGCAGUGGUGCACUUUUCAGUUUACAGGUCAACAUCAGUUUUUUUUACCGUAAAAAAGUUAAAGAAAGGUAGCUCAUGGCUCCGGUCGUGAGUGUUAUAGUCUUUUUCCUAUGCGGUAGGAGAGACUGAGGUCUGCAGUGUAGGCUAUUUGGCUAGAUACUCAGGUGCUAUGUGAUACCAUUUCAUAAACAACUUGUUGAUUAUGUUUUGUCUAUUGCAUACUCGCUUGUACUAUCAUACCUACGCUUAGGAUGUUGACUGAUAUGUAGUCGUA
This 772-nucleotide ribosomal RNA is filed under the name uncultured Neocallimastigales. Its description in RNAcentral is "partial large subunit ribosomal RNA". The stretch from base 4 to 662 matches the Rfam family "Eukaryotic large subunit ribosomal RNA", at positions 24 to 664 of the family's 3401-position model. The record is from RNAcentral. Lineage: Eukaryota; Fungi; Neocallimastigomycota; Neocallimastigomycetes; Neocallimastigales.